RNAcentral lists this ribosomal RNA (253 nucleotides) under uncultured bacterium. Its description in RNAcentral is "partial 16S ribosomal RNA". It matches the Rfam family "Bacterial small subunit ribosomal RNA", at positions 524 to 776 of the family's 1533-position model. The record is from RNAcentral.
UACGAAGGGGGCUAGCGUUGCUCGGAAUCACUGGGCGUAAAGGGUGCGUAGGUGGGUCUUUAAGCCAGGGGUGAAAUCCUGGAGCUCAACUCCAGAACUGCCUUUGAUACUGAGGAUCUUGAGUUCGGGAGAGGUGAGUGGAACUGCGAGUGUAGAGGUGAAAUUCGUAGAUAUUCGCAAGAACACCAGUGGCGAAGGCGGCUCACUGGCCCGAUACUGACGCUGAGGCACGAAAGCGUGGGGAGCAAACAGG